Molecule: long non-coding RNA, 792 nt
Filed under: Macaca mulatta (Rhesus monkey)
Lineage: Eukaryota; Metazoa; Chordata; Mammalia; Primates; Cercopithecidae
Description: lncRNA (ENSMMUG00000049935.1)
Source: RNAcentral
AGGAGGAGGAGUGUGUGGUGUGGCCCCAGGAGCGCCCUUGGUCAUCGGAUCACUGUGCUGAGGGUGGAGUAGUACUCCGGGUGCCCUGGCAGCAGGGGCCGCUUGAGGGUGCGCCAGGUUUCAUUUCGGUUCUGCCACACAUAAUGCACCAGGUCAGCUACCCUCCAAAGGCAGGGGCCACAUUGGUGCUCCCCUGGGCCCUGCCCCGCCCCACACAGCUCUUCCUCCCCUGCCAGCAGCAGGAGCUCCUGCUCCACCGAGGUCUGGUCGGGUGCCGGGGCCGCACACGAUGCCUGUCCUGGUGCCCGGUGCCAGCCUCACCAGCCUGAGCACUCCCUGGAGGGCACAGUCCCAGUGUCACGGGUUGGCGGAUUGGUUCACUUGGAUCUGCAGCCCCACGAAGGCCUCCACGGGCACCGAGGUCAGCUUUUCAGAGAGGUUGAGAUGGUGCACUGUCCCCGCCAGGAACGAGAAGGCUGCCCCUAAGAAGCGGGCGAGGACAUUACGGGACAGAUGCAGCUCCUCCAGGACAGUGCAGUUCAGGAAACCAGGCUGAAGAACGUGAAGUAUAUCGCCCAAAGUCAGACACGAAGGAACAACUGCUUUGGAGCUAGCACAUUCCUGAGCUGGAAUUGCACCACUGGUCAAUGGGACUGCAGAAUCCAAACUGCUUUCUACCGGAACAACUCCUUCCCUGCAGGAAGCAGGGUGCUCAUGGCUGAACCAUGGUCUGAGAAGGUUGAUGAAGUCACUGACUCAGCCCCAGCAAGGAAGUUGUCCUUCGACUUCUGA